UUUUAGAUAUUACCAACAUGAUGGACGUUUAUGUCCGUGAGGUUAGACAAUGGUGAUGCCGUUACCCACGAUGCUCUGUGUAUGUUCAUGACAUUUUUGAUGAUGUCAUCUCUCAGGAUGUCUGUUUAUGGUUUAUAACGAGAGAAUGUCUGAAUGGUUUUUGACGAAACGUGUGGACAUAGUGCCAUUGGAGACUACUCCAAAUUCACACAUUUUAGGUGUUUUUUACUUUUUAGCAUCAGCACAGAACACCCUAUGGACCCAUCGAUGUCUGUCUGUCACACCCUCCUGCUGCCACUAGGAACUAUGCAACCCCAGGGCUUCUCUGAGUGGUGAAGUGAGUUUAGGGACUCCCACUCCCAAGGCUUAUCUGAAUUUGGGGCAAUGCCACAAGACUUGCUUCCUUAGGACUUCCACUCCCCUGCCUAGACCUUCGUCAUACUGGGUUGGAAAUUCCUGUUCUGCUAUCUCCAGUCAGAUGACCUAGGUCUUGGCAAAACUGAGACUGCUAAUCUCAUCUGGCCUUCCACCAUCACAAGUUGGAAUAACCACCUUGACUAUUCACACAGGGGGUUGUCCACCCACACAGAUAUACGCCACUUCCGGGGUCUGCGCGUGGAUUGCAACGCUUGUGAUAUCUGUAUGCUUUUGAUAGCAGAAUUUGAAAUGCGCGCCCUAUGGAAUACGCUAGAAUUUCAAUCGUUUUCUUCGUGCCGUACACUGUUUAACGCUGUCUCUGUAGAAGUACGUGGUUUUGUUUGUAGGACAAGAGAUAGACGGCCAGUCACUUUGCCUGAAAGAUGUGACAGAUGCUUAAUUAGUAGAAAACUGAAUUUUGAGGAUGAUCUGGGUGGUGAAGCUGCAGGUGUGGCAAGCCUGAUUUUGGACAAGCUUGUGGGGAAAAGCCUAGGGGGUUCUUCGUGGUGUGCAGGCCACUGAGGCAACCUGGUCCUCUUAGUGGCAAAGCUAGUGAGGCAGUCUUGAUGGUGUUAAGCGUGGGUUGGUCUCACCCGUGACCCCUCUUAGGAGUGUCCAGUCCCGGCAAAGACGAAGUUAUGGAUUGCGAAUGCCAGGGUUGGCAGCGGUUAGGAAAGGUGACCUGGGUGGAGCAUCAAAUGCAGGGGUCAUGUCUUGAUGAAGCCAGAAUUCUUGGGAAGGGCCAGGGUAGUAAAGUCUCUGGGUUUUAAUCAAAGGGGGUGCAGUCCCCAGAGGUGCUCUUACACUUGACAGUAGAAGCCUAGAUGGUGUGGCAAGCCUGGGGUGCUGUAACCUGCAAUUGUCAUAGCCCAGGAAUUUGGAAUCCCAGCAAAGGCAGAGCCUAGGUUACAAUGCGCGAGAGAAGAAGCCUGAGGGGCAAAGCACCAGGAGGAGAAUGGGCAGACGACUUGGCCUCAGACAGUAAGAUUGCUCGGGAAAGCCAGGUUUAUAAUUCCUCUCAGGUGGCAACCCUGGUUUGGAACAAGAAUGUGAAAAGGUCUAUGGGGCUUUCCAAGGGUGGGCAGUCCUUGGAGCGGUGAUUCUGGAACCCAGGGAUGUCUAAGCCCAUGGGUGUUAAAGUCCCUGGAGGGAAAAUCCUAGUGUUGUAAAGGCCCGGUUGAGAUGUAACAUGGGAUUUUGGUAGCCAGGGGUUGGACACGACUGGUGAGGGAGAAACCAAGAUGGGGGUUAGAACCGUGGGACCGCAAGCUGCUGGGAUAAGUUCUUAGGGGCCAGCACUGGCAUGGGUUAGCUGAAAGCCAUAAGAGACAUGGACGUUCGCGAAAGGUGUUCUCUUUGUUUUUGCUAAAGCCUAACGCUGACUGAAAAUACAAUUAUCGUUAUGAAAUAUAAUUACAGGUGAUGUUAUCAGAAUUCACGGCAAACAGGCGGAUGGAUGGUGGCUUGGGGAACUGAAUGGUGUGGUGGGCAUCUUCCCUGCAACGUACGUGCAAGAGAUAGACUGACAGCCUGGCCCAUCAUGUGUCAUGCGAGAGAGGCUGUUUGAAGCCAUUGGACUUUGUUUGGUGUUGGUUUGCACACAGGGUGUUACGAGGUGCCAUGUGAAUGGUUUAAAUGUUAGGCGGAACAGGUGCCGUUUGUUUGUGAUAUUUGUUUUGUGCUUCUGUUCCGUUGAGAUCGAGCAUUUGCCCCGUCCAGAGUGUUUAGAUGGAUGGAAGCAAACUGCGCGCGUGUGUGGUGAAACUGCUAUGGACAUAACCGUGUUGCAUGGUGCAACAUGCCAGUGGGUCAAUGUCUGGAGCUCAAAGUGCCAACGUACUGGAUCUGGUGUAUAAUUUAUCACUUCGGAUUCCAAAUAUAUAACACCAAGUGAAUCUUGUCUUUUUUUUUCGUUUCUCUAAAACUUGUAAUAUUAAAAGUGGAUACAAAGCUAAUGACUCUAUAAUGUAUUUAGCUUGGAAUUGUUGUGUUAAAAUAUUUUGCUCUUGUUUGUCACAAUAUAUCAAUUAAUAGGAAUAACUAA
Molecule: non-coding RNA, 2461 nt
Organism: Zootermopsis nevadensis
Lineage: Eukaryota; Metazoa; Arthropoda; Insecta; Blattodea; Termopsidae
Source: RefSeq, a predicted model, not a curated record